UACGGGAGGCAGCAGUGGGGAAUAUUGGACAAUGGGGGAAACCCUGAUCCAGCGACGCCGCGUGAGUGAAGAAGUAUUUCGGUAUGUAAAGCUCUAUCAGCAAGGAAGAUAAUGACGGUACUUGACUAAGAAGCCCCGGCUAACUACGUGCCAGCAGCCGCGGUAAU
This 167-nucleotide ribosomal RNA is filed under the name uncultured rumen bacterium. Its description in RNAcentral is "partial 16S ribosomal RNA". It matches the Rfam family "Bacterial small subunit ribosomal RNA", at positions 340 to 524 of the family's 1533-position model. The record is from RNAcentral.